Long non-coding RNA from Periophthalmus magnuspinnatus, 221 nucleotides. RefSeq lists it as uncharacterized. NCBI's taxonomy places the organism in Eukaryota, Metazoa, Chordata, Actinopteri, Gobiiformes, Gobiidae. The record is from RefSeq and is a predicted model, not a curated record. The transcript is spliced from 3 exons.
AAAAUCCAUCUACCUUACAAGAAAGCACAAGAACCAUCAGACACUAUUACAGGAAAUGAGGUCAACUCCUGCAAAGUGCUUCUGAACCACAUGAACGGAGCUUUGACAGACCCACAAUCAGAGAAUGGAGAGAAGGUGGGUCCAGUCUGUGACACUAGUGCAGAAGACGUGGAGCUCCAGUCCAAGACAAGAGAAGAUAUCCCUCUACACACAAGCAACGA